UAAUCACAGGGAUUGCCCCAGUAACGGCGAAGUGAAGCGGCAACAGCUCAAAUUUGAAAUCUGGCCCCAGGCCCGAGUUGUAAUUUGCAGAGGAUGCUUUUGGCGCGGUGCCUUCCGAGUUCCCUGGAACGGGACGCCAUAGAGGGUGAGAGCCCCGUACGGUUGGACACCAAGCCUUUGUAAAGCUCCUUCGACGAGUCGAGUAGUUUGGGAAUGCUGCUCAAAAUGGGAGGUAUAUUUCUUCUAAAGCUAAAUAUAGGCCAGAGACCGAUAGCGCACAAGUAGAGUGAUCGAAAGAUGAAAAGCACUUUGAAAAGAGGGUUAAACAGCACGUGAAAUUGUUAAAAGGGAAGCGCUUGUGACCAGACUUGCGUCCGGUGAAUCACCCAGCUCUCGCGGCUGGGGCACUUCGCCGGCACAGGCCAGCAUCAGCUUGCCGUCGGGGACAAAAGCUUCAGGAACGUAGCUCUCUUCGGGGAGUGUUAUAGCCUGUUGCAUAAUACCCUUCGGCGGGCUGAGGUACGCGCUCCGCAAGGAUGCUGGCGUAAUGGUCAUCAGCGACCCGUCUUG
This 570-nucleotide ribosomal RNA is filed under the name Colletotrichum fuscum. Its description in RNAcentral is "eukaryotic LSU rRNA". It matches the Rfam family "Eukaryotic large subunit ribosomal RNA", at positions 62 to 656 of the family's 3401-position model. The record is from RNAcentral. Lineage: Eukaryota; Fungi; Ascomycota; Sordariomycetes; Glomerellales; Glomerellaceae.